GCUGGGCAUGGUGGUGCAGGCCUGUAAUUCCAGCGGCUCUGAAGGCUGACGCAGGAGAGUCACGAGUUCAAAGCCAGCCUCAGCAAAAGUGAGACACUAAGCAACUCAGUGAGACCCUGUUUCUA
This 125-nucleotide small RNA is filed under the name Marmota monax (woodchuck). The record is from RNAcentral. Lineage: Eukaryota; Metazoa; Chordata; Mammalia; Rodentia; Sciuridae.